Molecule: long non-coding RNA, 5610 nt
Filed under: Salvia miltiorrhiza (redroot sage)
Lineage: Eukaryota; Viridiplantae; Streptophyta; Magnoliopsida; Lamiales; Lamiaceae
Description: long non-coding RNA (SMIL_LNC011406)
Source: RNAcentral
AAAGUCAGAAUUUAGUUGAAUGGUCUGAAGAAGAAUCAAAGUUCGUCUCGAUACGAGUUCGUAGGCGAAAACGGAUCUAAAAUCCGACUUGAAACGAGGGAGAACGGACCAAAACAAAAAUGCUGCGCAUUGCAGUCUGCGGGCGGCGUGGACGGCGGCGCCGUGGCACUGCGCGCGCCGUCACGGCGGCGCCGUUCCACGGCGGCGCCGCCUCUGUUCAGAUCCGACAGUACGAUUUUUCGUUUAAAAACCCCUUUCUAGGGUUUUACUUUAUCAUUCUCGUCCCCAGCAGCCUCCAUAGGCGAUUUUUCACCUCUUUCUUAAGGUUUUUAGAGUUCCACAACACUUACUUUCAAUCUUGGAUUCAUUGGAUUGCUUUGGAUGUCAAUUAACACUUCAUCGGAUUGGUUUUCCUUGGAUUGCUAUGUUUUGUAAGAACUCCCUUUGAUUCUCUUUGUUUAUGAAUCCCUUGGUUAUUUAAGUCUUUGUUUCUUGUCUUUAAUGAAUAUGAUGAUUGAAGAUUAUUGUUGUUGAUUCUAUAUUCUCUUGGUUUUAUGAAUCUUUUGGUUAAUUGAGUUUUGUGUUUUAUGUAUUUGAUGAAUGUGAAGAUUGAAGUUCAUUGUUGUUGAUUCUAGAUUCUCUUGGUUUUCUAAAUCCUUUGGUUUAUUUGAAUCUUUAUUUUGUGUUUUGAUUAAUAUGAUGAUUGGAGAUAAUUGUUGUUGAGUUUAGAUAAUCUACGUGAUUCGUAGUUUGUUGCUAUUGUUUACCCUUUUCCUUUCUUGUUGAUGAAUAUUUAGAGAUUUCUUUUAUGGAGAUUAAGAUUUUCUUGCAUUCGAAUCUUAUGCUUGAUUGAGUUUCUUGCCUAGGUAGUUAUUAAUCUUUGAUGUUUACAAGUUUAUGAUCGUUUGGUUUAGUGUUGGAGUUGGAAACUCUAGUUGAUUUCGUUAAUGUUCAAAUGCCAUGUUCUAGUUAGUUCGUCGUUGAGUUGCUUGUGAAAUUCUCUUUGAUUGUGUGUGUUUGCUUAACAUUCAUUUGAUUAAAUGUUAAUAUGUUAUUUCGCCUAGAUAAUCGUUGUUUAUGGUGUUGAAUUGAUGAUUGCUUUCUAGAUUGCUAGUUUAGAACCCUAGCUUUGUUUGCCUUCUUGCAUUCUUAUUGGCUUUCUAUCUUUUGCCUAGUUAACUUUAUAUGCUUUAUUUUAAUUACGCAUUAGUUAAUCGGAGAGAAAGUGUCAGACCCAAACUUCUGAUUAGAGUGUUUAGAUUUCUUUUAAGUUUCUUGUGAGCAAUACGAUUAGAGCCCUGCUAAGUCUUCCUUGUGAGACGACUUGAGUCACCUUACCACCCUAGGACGACCUCGUAUAAAUUCGAGUCCAUCCGUUAGGUGUUUUUGGAUGAGUCAAAUUUUGGCGCCGUUGCCGGGGAAGGCUUUAGGCAUUUGAUUGUGUUGCAUUGUUUUCCGUGUUUAUUUUUGUUUAUUUCUUUUGACUCGGUUAUUUUCUCCCUCCGGUGCGUUUGAUUUGUUUGUUCGUGUUGUGUAUGCAAGGACGUAGAAGCUUGAAGAGAAAGCUUGCACCUUACUACGACAACAUUCAUCGACCUCGGGAGGUUCUUUCAAGCCUGGAGAAGGAGUCCGAGUCCAGUUCGAGAAGCCUUGUGGAAUCACAGUUUAGUGAGGAAAACUGUGAAGAGAGAAUUGCUUCCAAUCCCAUUCUGGAAGCCGUUGAGGAGACACUUUCCGUGCAUUCUGAAGAAGAAGAAGAAGCUCGGCCCAAUCCUGACCAAGAAGCAAUGGCGGAGCAGAAUGUUCAGUACAUGGGAGAUUUUUCCAGGCCAGUUAUUGGGACCACUAGCACGUCAGCGAUAGUGCUUCCCACGGCGGUCCGUAAUUAUAAUCUGAAACCCAACGAUUCAAACCUGCUGCCGCUCUUUCAUGGGAUGCCGAGUGAGGACGCCUUACAGUUCAUCCGUGACUUCUGCACUCAAGUGCAGACCUUCCCACUGUUGGAGCUCACCGAGGAUCAGUUGAGACUCAAGUGCUUACCUUAUGCACUCAAGGACCGGGCUAGAACGUGGUUGCUGUCCCUGCCGCCGAACUCUAUCACCACAUGGGGAGAGGCGUGUGAGAAGUUCAUGCUCAAGUACUACCCUAAUCACAAGACUCAAGAGAUUAGGAGCCAAAUAAUGAACUUCAUGCAAGGAGCUGACGAGCCUCUCCACGAGGCUUGGGAGAGAUUCCAAGAGCUCAUCCGCCAGUGCCCACAGCACCAGUUAGCACCCGUCAUGUUGAUGCAGUUCUUCUAUGACGGAUUGAUACAGACGGCACAGUUUAUGGUGGACAGUACAGCAGGGGGCAACAUUGCCCGGAAGACAGCUGAUGAGCUCAAGGAGAUUUUCAACACACUUGCAGCGAGUUCUCAACAGAAAUCAGUUAGAGGAAGGAGGGUUGAAGCCAAUGCAGUAGCUCCCAACAAUGAGCUUCAGAAGCAAGUAGCAGAUUUGAUGAGGCAAGUUCAACACCUCAAGAUGAACCAGGCAGAAGCCCCGCCAGUUCACGCGCCACCAUCAGAAGGAUGUGGAAUAUGUGGCGAUUUUGGCCACGGAACCAACGAGUGCCAUCGAAUGGGGGAGUUUACACCUGAAGGGGAGGCAGAGGUCUAUGCUGCUCAGGGCUAUCCGGGGAGGCCUCAAUUUGAACAGAGGCCCAUCUUUAAUCAAGGGCAACAAAGCUCCAACUCGGGUUGGAGAAAUCAGCAGAAUUCGGAUGGAGGAACCAAGCUCCUGGCCAAGGGUCGGGAUCAAAUCAAGGCAAUCAGCUCCCCCGACCUCCACAGCAAUUGGGGUAUCAGAACCAGCAGCAGUUCUACCCAUCUCAACAACAGCCCUCAUUUCCUCAGCAGCAGCAUUACCCUCAACCAUAUCAGCAACAGCAGCCACCGCAACAACUCUAUCCACCUCAGCAGCACCAACCUCCAGGCCCCUUAUUUGAAGAUCAGAUACAAGCUUUCAUGCAAGCUAGCAAACAGGCGAUGGAGGCUCAGAGUGCUACCAUCAAGCGCCUCGAGACUACAGUUGGGCAACUAACAGGAGCCUUGAAUCAGCUGCAGCAAGAACAGCCAACUGGGAAGUUCCCAACCCAGGACCAACAGCCGCAUCAAGCCCAUGCCGUAGCGGUAAUCAAGGAGAAUGCCCCAAUAACUACGGGGAAAUGGAGAAGCAAAACUGUGCAAGCAAUCAAGGCUACCCAAUGCCCCAGUGAGCCACUGCCACCUAUCACUGUCGCACCAGAACAACCACCACCCAAGCAAGGAGAUCCAGGUAGCUUUAUUUUUGAUAUUAGCUUAGGUGGGGUUGAAAAGGCUUUAGGAAUGCUUGAUUUGGGCGCGGCAGUCAAUUUGAUGCCGCUUGAUAUUUUUGAGAAAUUGGGUAAUAAAGAGCUUAAAUGCACGAAUAUGAAGAUAGAGCUAGCUGACGGCUCUAUUAGUAGCCCACGAGGCCUUGUUGAGGAUGUUGAGGUUGUUGUGAGGGGGAUUAGUGUUUUGGCUGAUUUUGUUGUCCUUGAUGUGGGAAAAGGGAUUAGAGGCGAGAAUGGGCAUCUCGUGCUACUUGGCCGACCCUUUAUGGCUACCACCCAUACUCGCAUCGAUGUGAGUACGGGAACUGUAAGUAUGGUAGGGGCAGGUAGAGCGGUAACAUUCUCUGUUUUUGAUAAAAAAAAAACCUACUACCCCCACUCCCUUACUUCAAAUCUGCUCUUAUGUUGAAACAUUUGAUGCUUUGGAUGAGGAUUGUAUUGUGCAGGAAUUCCUUAAUAAGCUGCAGGAGGAGGACGAGAUCGUGGAAGAAUUUCAUGCUAACCUGCAAGAUGAAAGUGAGAUUGAGCAAGAAUUCCUAGAUAAGCUGCAAGAGGAAGAUGAUAAAGAGCAAGGCCCCCUGUGUGCCUUGCUACUGGAAGAGAAGCUUGAUGAGAAUGAGUCACUUAAUCUCGUUGGAUGUGUGGAUAGAGGGCCAUCCCAAGAUAUGAGCAUGGAGCACUCAUUUGGAGGACCCGCAGCUGCAAUUCAAGAAGAUGUGUUUACAAGGGCGCUAAGGCAGCUGGAGCUUCAAUCGGAUUUUGGUUAAGGGGUUCUCUUAGUCGGGCUGGCGACUUAAAAACUAGCGCUGCAUGGGAGGCAACCCAUGUUUUCUUGCUUUUUCUUGUUUCGUUUUUCUUUCGUUUUGUUUGUGUUGUGUUUUGUUGCUUCUGUUGUUUGGUGCAGGUUGUUGCGUUGGAGACUGCUUGUUCUUUGGAUGAGAGAGAGGCAGACAUCGUGGGACAUUACAGACUCACCACUGGAUCGGUAUUUAGGGAAGUUUCCUCUUUCACCCCUCUUUUUGUUUGCACUGAGGACAGUGCCAGAGUUUUAAGUGUGGGGGGGGUGUUUGUUGGUAGUUGUGAAUCCUGUGGGUGUCUUCUUGUUGUGUUCUUGGGCUUUCUUGUGUGGGGCGAAUGGUCCCCUUAUCUUGAUUUCUUGUUGUUUUUAAGUGCACCUCGCAUGUUGAUGGUGGUUCACUAGCGAUUCUGGUUUGUGUUUCGAGUUGAUUGUUGUCCUUGUCUUUUGUGAUUGAUUUGUUCCCAAUGUGGUGUAAUUAGUUUAAUGUUUGGAUGCAACACCCUGAUGAGCAACUCUUGACGUGAUUUGUCCGGUAGAUGCUAGGGGGAGUGUUUUCAUUGCAAUUUCCUAAUAUCUUUCUCUGUGUUGAAAUGUUUGGUUGGUUGUUGAGUUUUUGAUAGCUCUGGGUCUCUGCUCCUCUAAUGGCAUCAUUAUGAGCAUGGGAAACCACACGAGAAUAUUUUGGAUCACCUCCAAAAGUGUCAAUCUCGUGAAUUAUGGCCUAUCUAUUAAGAGCGAAAAUAACUUGACCCCAAAAAAAAAAAGAGAAAGUGAAAUGUGAAAAGAAAAAGAAUGUAAGAAUGUAGAAAAAGGAUGAGAUAUGAUUAUAAAGGAAAUUGCAUUAGGAAAUUCACCCCUAGCGGAGAAUUGGGUCUGAUCGGAUUGAGUUGUAUCAUCUUGUUGUUGCAUUUUAAACCUUAACUUUGAACACCUGAUUGGGGACAUUGAUAUCUUGAAAGACUUGGAUUGGUUGGUGUUUUGCUUAGUGAGAAGAAUCGCUUGUGGAUUUUCUUUCGAUGUUGUGAUUGUUGCUUGAGGACAGCAAGGUAUUAGUGUGGGGGGUUGUUUAGCCCUAUUUUGUGAUGAAUUUGUGGGUGUUUACGUCUUAUAUUGACUUUUAUUUUGGUCUCUUUCACUUAAGAGUUGAAUGAUUUGAGCUUUUGUGCUAAUUUUGUUGUCUCAGGAUUUUGUGCUCAAAUUGAUUGAUAUGUGGACAAAAAUAAAGUCAGAAUUUAGUUGAUUGGUUUGAAGAAGAAUCGAAGUUCGUCUCGAUACGAGUUCGUAGGCGAAAACGGAUCCAAAAUCCGACUUGAAACGAGGGAGAACGGGCCAAAACAAAACUGCUGCGCAUUGCAGUGGACGGCGGGCGCCGUGUGACGGCGGCCGCCGUGCCCAAACUGCGAAGGGGGCACACGGCGCCGCCGUGUCACGGCGCCGCCGCCUCUGUGCAGAUCCGACAG